Non-coding RNA from Gymnothorax javanicus (giant moray), 74 nucleotides. The record is from the annotation of a GenBank genome assembly. Lineage: Eukaryota; Metazoa; Chordata; Actinopteri; Anguilliformes; Muraenidae.
GCACGUGUGAGUGCAGUGGUUAGCACUGCUGCCUUACAGCAAGAAGGUUGUGGGUUUGAAUCUUGCCUGGGGCC